Molecule: long non-coding RNA, 306 nt
Filed under: Vigna radiata
Lineage: Eukaryota; Viridiplantae; Streptophyta; Magnoliopsida; Fabales; Fabaceae
Description: long non-coding RNA (VRAD_LNC017186)
Source: RNAcentral
AUAUGUGUUGAAAAGGUUCAAGUUUGGGGUUGAAUGGGGAAAGUGAAAGGCAAAAGAAAAAGGAAAGCAUUGAGUUCAAAAUAUGAAAAAGAAAAAUGCAUGUGAAAGGAAAAGAAAAGAAGAAAAGAGAAAAAACAUGUAAAGAAGAACUCAAUGUAAAAUGAAAAAGGGAAAAAUUUGGGAAUGAGUGAGAUUGGUUAAAAAGAGAGUGUACUUGAACUUUGAAUGAUGAUUUAAACUCUCUUAACUCAAGGAUUUUGUAUUCCAGAAAAACCAAUUUUCUUGAUAGCUCAGCCACAAUACAAG